Molecule: ribosomal RNA, 490 nt
Filed under: uncultured bacterium
Lineage: Bacteria
Description: bacterial SSU rRNA
Rfam family: Bacterial small subunit ribosomal RNA
Source: RNAcentral
GAUGAACGCUAGCGAUAGGCCUAACACAUGCAAGUCGAGGGGCAUCACAUGAAGUAGCAAUACGGAUGGUGGCGACCGGCGCACGGGUGAGUAACACGUAUGCAACCUGCCUUCAACAAGGGGAUAACCCGUUGAAAGACGGACUAAUACCCUAUAACACAGGGGUCCCGCAUGGGAAUAUUUGUUAAAGGACAACCGGUUGAAGAUGGGCAUGCGUUCCAUUAGCUAGUUGGCGGGGUAACGGCCCACCAAGGCAACGAUGGAUAGGGGAACUGAGAGGUUUAUCCCCCACACUGGUACUGAGACACGGACCAGACUCCUACGGGAGGCAGCAGUGAGGAAUAUUGGUCAAUGGACGCAAGUCUGAACCAGCCACGUCGCGUGAAGGAAGACGGCCCUACGGGUUGUAAACUUCUUUUAAACGGGAAUAAAGUGCCCCACGCGUGGGGUUUUGCAUGUACCGUAUGAAUAAGGAUCGGCUAACUCCGUG